AAGGCCCUAGCUUAAUUAAAGUACUUGAGUUGCAUUCAUGAGAUGCAGGGUAGAAUCCUGCGGGUCUUA
Molecule: transfer RNA, 69 nt
Filed under: Gallicrex cinerea (watercock)
Lineage: Eukaryota; Metazoa; Chordata; Aves; Gruiformes; Rallidae
Description: tRNA-Ala
Rfam family: tRNA
About the family: Transfer RNA (tRNA) molecules are approximately 80 nucleotides in length. Their secondary structure includes four short double-helical elements and three loops (D, anti-codon, and T loops).
Source: RNAcentral